RNAcentral lists this ribosomal RNA (405 nucleotides) under Triticum aestivum (bread wheat). RNAcentral describes it as "partial small subunit ribosomal RNA". Lineage: Eukaryota; Viridiplantae; Streptophyta; Magnoliopsida; Poales; Poaceae. The record is from RNAcentral.
AUGACGACGGCGAUGCGGUGGACUCCAUGUGAGGUGGAGGACGUCGGCGCGAGGUGGAGGCCGUCGGCGGCGAGAUGCCACUGGUGGCCGGUUGCGAUUAUGUGGAGUUCGCGCCUUGCUUAUAAGGAUAUCUUUGCUCUAAGGAAUAAAAAGGAUCUUCACACCCGGGAUAAUCUAUUGUUCAUUGUUAUAGUUGACUGGGUCAUGGCGAUUUUCAUGUUCUCAGCAGCCUGUGCCUCCGCGAGCCUGACAAUUUUCCUCAUGUGGGAUGUGAACUUCUGCGGGACAUACUCGCGGCUGGCCUGCCAGCAGUUUGCGCUUUCGGUCGUCCUGGCGUUCAUCACGUGGUUGCUGCAAGCUGCGUCUUCUUUCUCCGUGUUCUGGCUACUGGUUUCGUUCUACUAG